CGCCUCGCCGCAGGGCGCCCCCGCGUGGGGCCUCCGUUCUCGGUCUGUGCCGAGCGCCUACGCGGUGCUGGUCGCUGGUCUGGGCGCCUGGGAAGCAGCCGCGAACCGGACAGAUUCCUGCUUACGAUGAAAGAAACAGACAAAAGUAAGUCUUGCUGCUGCUCACUCUUUGGGGUCACAGUGCCUUUAUGAGCUGUAACACUCAACCGCGAAGAUUUGCAGCUUCACUCCUGAAGCCAGUGAGAUUACGAGCCCACUGGCAGGAUGAACAACUCCAGACGCGCGGCGCCUUAAGAGCUGUAACACCGCGAAGGUCUGUAGCUUCAUUCCUGAGCUAGCGAGAGCGCGAACCUACCAGAAGGAAGAAACUCCGAACACAUCGGAACAUCAGAACGAGCAAACUCCGGACACCCCGCCUUUAGGAACUGCAACACUCACCGCGAGGGUCCGUGGCUUCAUUCUUGAAGUCAGUGAGACCAAGAACUCACCAAUUCCGGACACAACAGGAUCUACGGUCACAGAAACUCCCACCGGAAGUUUUCCGCCCCUCGGCACGGACACCUGGGCUUCCUGCCCCAUAAGAGGAGCCACCGGCACCGGGGCAAGGUGAAGACGUGGCCGCGGGAUGACCCCAGCCAGCCCGUGCACCUCACGGCCUUCCUGGGCUACAAGGCGGGCAUGACCCACACCCUGCGGGAGGUGCACCGGCCGGGGCUCAAAAUUUCCAAACGGGAGGAGGUGGAGGCGGUGACAAUUGUAGAAACGCCGCCCCUAGUGGUGGUGGGCGUGGUGGGCUACGUGGCCACC
This 807-nucleotide long non-coding RNA is filed under the name Homo sapiens (human). RNAcentral describes it as "HSALNT0226510". The record is from RNAcentral. Lineage: Eukaryota; Metazoa; Chordata; Mammalia; Primates; Hominidae.